This 1050-nucleotide ribosomal RNA is filed under the name uncultured Bdellovibrio sp. Its description in RNAcentral is "bacterial SSU rRNA". It matches the Rfam family "Bacterial small subunit ribosomal RNA", at positions 335 to 1394 of the family's 1533-position model. The record is from RNAcentral. Lineage: Bacteria; Pseudomonadati; Bdellovibrionota; Bdellovibrionia; Bdellovibrionales; Pseudobdellovibrionaceae.
AUUCCUACGGGAGGCAGCAGUAGGGAAUAUUGCACAAUGGAGGAAACUCUGAUGCAGCGACGCCGCGUGAGUGAUGAAGGACUUCGGUUCGUAAGGCUCUGUCGUAUGGGAAUAAGAAAGUGAAUGUACCAUGCAAGAAAGGAUCGGCUAACUUCGUGCCAGCAGCCGCGGUAAGACGAGGGAUCCUAGCGUUGUUCGGAAUCAUUGGGCGUAAAGCGGAUGUAGGUGGCCUUGUAAGUCAGGUGUGAAAGCCCAGAGCUCAACUCUGGAAGUGCAUUUGAUACUGCGAGGCUUGAGUGUGGAAGAGGUAAGUAGAAUACCUGGUGUAGUGGUGAAAUACGUAGAUAUCAGGUGGAAUACCGUAGGCGAAGGCGGCUUACUGGUCCAACACUGACACUGAGAUCCGAAAGCGUGGGGAUCAAACAGGAUUAGAUACCCUGGUAGUCCACGCUGUAAACGAUGGAUACUUGUCGUUGGAGGUAUUGACCCCUUCAGUGACGAAGCUAACGCGUUAAGUAUCCCGCCUGGGGAGUACGGUCGCAAGAUUAAAACUCAAAGAAAUUGACGAGGGCCCGCACAAGCGGUGGAUCAUGUGGUUUAAUUCGACGCAACGCGAAGAACCUUACCUGGGCUUGACAUCCCUGGAACUCCCUGGAAACAGGGAGGUGCCCUCGAAAGAGGGAGCCAGGAGACAGGUGCUGCAUGGCUGUCGUCAGCUCGUGUCGUGAGAUGUUGGGUUAAGUCCCGCAACGAGCGCAACCCUUGUCCUUAGUUGCCAGCAUUCAGUUGGGCACCCUAAGGAGACUGCCGGUGUUAAACCGGAGGAAGGUGGGGAUGACGUCAAGUCCUCAUGGCCUUUAUGCCCAGGGCUACACACGUGCUACAAUGACCGGUACAAAGGGCUGCAAUACCGCGAGGUGGAGCGAAUCCCAAAAAGCCGGUCCCAGUUCGGAUUGGAGUCUGCAACUCGACUCCAUGAAGUCGGAAUCGCUAGUAAUCGCAGAUCAGCAGGCUGCGGUGAAUACGUUCCCGGGCCUUGUACACACCGCC